Molecule: ribosomal RNA, 466 nt
Filed under: uncultured Thermoplasmatales archaeon
Lineage: Archaea; Methanobacteriati; Thermoplasmatota; Thermoplasmata; Thermoplasmatales
Description: bacterial SSU rRNA
Rfam family: Archaeal small subunit ribosomal RNA
Source: RNAcentral
GCACCGCGAACGGGAGGAGCGUGCGGUUCAAUUGGAUUCAACACCGGACAACUCACCGAGGAGCGACGGUUACAGUGAAGGCCAGGCUGAUGACCUUGCCUGAUUUUCCGAGAGGUGGUGCAUGGCCGUCGUCAGUUCGUACCGUAAGGCGUUCUCUUAAGUGAGAUAACGAACGAGACCCUCACCGUUAAUUGCUAGUGUUCUCUCCGGAGGGCACGCACAUUAACGGGACCGCUGUCGCUAAGGACAGAGGAAGGGGAGGUCAACGGUAGGUCCGUAUGCCCCGAAUCUCCUGGGCUACACGCGCGCUACAAAGGUUGGGACAAUGGGCUCCGACAUCGAAAGGUGAAGGCAAAUCUCGAAACCCAAUCGUAGUUCGGAUUGAGGGUUGUAACUCACCCUCAUGAAGCUGGAUUCCGUAGUAAUCGCGGAUCAACAAUCCGCGGUGAAUAUGCCCCUGCUCCUU